Molecule: ribosomal RNA, 467 nt
Filed under: uncultured bacterium
Lineage: Bacteria
Description: partial 16S ribosomal RNA
Rfam family: Bacterial small subunit ribosomal RNA
Source: RNAcentral
GACGAACGCUGGCGGCGUGCUUAACACAUGCCAGUCGAACGGAAAGGCCCUGCUUUUGUGGGGUGCUCGAGUGGCGAACGGGUGAGUAACACGUGAGUAACCUGCCCUUGACUUUGGGAUAACUUCAGGAAACUGGGGCUAAUACCGGAUAGGAGCUCCUGCUGCAUGGUGGGGGUUGGAAAGUUUCGGCGGUUGGGGAUGGACUCGCGGCUUAUCAGCUUGUUGGUGGGGUAGUGGCUUACCAAGGCUUUGACGGGUAGCCGGCCUGAGAGGGUGACCGGCCACAUUGGGACUGAGAUACGGCCCAGACUCCUACGGGAGGCAGCAGUGGGGAAUAUUGCACAAUGGGCGGAAGCCUGAUGCAGCAACGCCGCGUGCGGGAUGACGACCUUCGGGUUGUAAACCGCUUUCGCCUGUGACGAAGCGUGAGUGACGGUAAUGGGUAAAGAAGCACCGGCUAACUACGU